Molecule: ribosomal RNA, 824 nt
Filed under: Pediococcus pentosaceus
Lineage: Bacteria; Bacillati; Bacillota; Bacilli; Lactobacillales; Lactobacillaceae
Description: bacterial SSU rRNA
Rfam family: Bacterial small subunit ribosomal RNA
Source: RNAcentral
GCAGUAGGGAUCUUCCACAAUGGACGCAAGUCUGAUGGAGCAACGCCGCGUGAGUGAAGAAGGGUUUCGGCUCGUAAAGCUCUGUUGUUAAAGAAGAACGUGGGUAAGAGUAACUGUUUACCCAGUGACGGUAUUUAACCAGAAAGCCACGGCUAACUACGUGCCAGCAGCCGCGGUAAUACGUAGGUGGCAAGCGUUAUCCGGAUUUAUUGGGCGUAAAGCGAGCGCAGGCGGUCUUUUAAGUCUAAUGUGAAAGCCUUCGGCUCAACCGAAGAAGUGCAUUGGAAACUGGGAGACUUGAGUGCAGAAGAGGACAGUGGAACUCCAUGUGUAGCGGUGAAAUGCGUAGAUAUAUGGAAGAACACCAGUGGCGAAGGCGGCUGUCUGGUCUGCAACUGACGCUGAGGCUCGAAAGCAUGGGUAGCGAACAGGAUUAGAUACCCUGGUAGUCCAUGCCGUAAACGAUGAUUACUAAGUGUUGGAGGGUUUCCGCCCUUCAGUGCUGCAGCUAACGCAUUAAGUAAUCCGCCUGGGGAGUACGACCGCAAGGUUGAAACUCAAAAGAAUUGACGGGGGCCCGCACAAGCGGUGGAGCAUGUGGUUUAAUUCGAAGCUACGCGAAGAACCUUACCAGGUCUUGACAUCUUCUGACAGUCUAAGAGAUUAGAGGUUCCCUUCGGGGACAGAAUGACAGGUGGUGCAUGGUUGUCGUCAGCUCGUGUCGUGAGAUGUUGGGUUAAGUCCCGCAACGAGCGCAACCCUUAUUACUAGUUGCCAGCAUUAAGUUGGGCACUCUAGUGAGACUGCCGGUGACAACCGGAGGA